Molecule: ribosomal RNA, 200 nt
Filed under: uncultured bacterium
Lineage: Bacteria
Description: partial 16S ribosomal RNA
Rfam family: Bacterial small subunit ribosomal RNA
Source: RNAcentral
UGGGCUGCAACCCGCCCACAUGAAGUUGGAGUUGCUAGUAAUCGCGGAUCAGCAUGCCGCGGUGAAUACGUUCCCGGGCCUUGUACACACCGCCCGUCACACCAUGGGAGUUGGGAGCACCCGAAGCCGGUGAGUUGACCGCAAGGGGACAGCCGUCGAAGGUGAGACUGAUGACUGGGGUGAAGUCGUAACAAGGUAAC